This 23-nucleotide small nuclear RNA is filed under the name Arabidopsis thaliana (thale cress). RNAcentral's name for it is "snRNA_05730". The record is from RNAcentral. Lineage: Eukaryota; Viridiplantae; Streptophyta; Magnoliopsida; Brassicales; Brassicaceae.
ACCGCACUUCUCCUGCAUCGCAA